RNAcentral lists this ribosomal RNA (2901 nucleotides) under Enterobacter hormaechei. RNAcentral describes it as "23S ribosomal RNA". It matches the Rfam family "Bacterial large subunit ribosomal RNA". Lineage: Bacteria; Pseudomonadati; Pseudomonadota; Gammaproteobacteria; Enterobacterales; Enterobacteriaceae. The record is from RNAcentral.
GGUUAAGCGACUAAGCGUACACGGUGGAUGCCCUGGCAGUCAGAGGCGAUGAAGGACGUGCUAAUCUGCGAAAAGCGCCGGCGAGGUGAUAUGAACCUUUGACCCGGCGAUGUCCGAAUGGGGAAACCCAGUGCAAUCCGUUGCACUAUCGUUAACUGAAUACAUAGGUUAACGAGGCGAACCGGGGGAACUGAAACAUCUAAGUACCCCGAGGAAAAGAAAUCAACCGAGAUUCCCCCAGUAGCGGCGAGCGAACGGGGAGCAGCCCGGAGUCUGAAUCAGCUUGUGUGUUAGUGGAACGGUCUGGAAAGUCCGACGGUACAGGGUGAUAGUCCCGUACACGAAAGCACACUUGCUGUGAACUCGAAGAGUAGGGCGGGACACGUGGUAUCCUGUCUGAAUAUGGGGGGACCAUCCUCCAAGGCUAAAUACUCCUGACUGACCGAUAGUGAACCAGUACCGUGAGGGAAAGGCGAAAAGAACCCCGGCGAGGGGAGUGAAAAAGAACCUGAAACCGUGUACGUACAAGCAGUGGGAGCCUCUUUAUGGGGUGACUGCGUACCUUUUGUAUAAUGGGUCAGCGACUUAUAUUCUGUAGCAAGGUUAACCGUAUAGGGGAGCCGAAGGGAAACCGAGUCUUAACUGGGCGUUAAGUUGCAGGGUAUAGACCCGAAACCCGGUGAUCUAGCCAUGGGCAGGUUGAAGGUUGGGUAACACUAACUGGAGGACCGAACCGACUAAUGUUGAAAAAUUAGCGGAUGACCUGUGGCUGGGGGUGAAAGGCCAAUCAAACCGGGAGAUAGCUGGUUCUCCCCGAAAGCUAUUUAGGUAGCGCCUCGUGAACUCAUCUUCGGGGGUAGAGCACUGUUUCGGCUAGGGGGCCAUCCCGGCUUACCAACCCGAUGCAAACUACGAAUACCGAAGAAUGUUAUCACGGGAGACACACGGCGGGUGCUAACGUCCGUCGUGAAGAGGGAAACAACCCAGACCGCCAGCUAAGGUCCCAAAGUCAUGGUUAAGUGGGAAACGAUGUGGGAAGGCACAGACAGCCAGGAUGUUGGCUUAGAAGCAGCCAUCAUUUAAAGAAAGCGUAAUAGCUCACUGGUCGAGUCGGCCUGCGCGGAAGAUGUAACGGGGCUAAACCAUGCACCGAAGCUGCGGCAGCGACACUAUGUGUUGUUGGGUAGGGGAGCGUUCUGUAAGCCGUUGAAGGUGUCUGUGAGGUGCUGGAGGUAUCAGAAGUGCGAAUGCUGACAUAAGUAACGAUAAAGCGGGUGAAAAGCCCGCUCGCCGGAAGACCAAGGGUUCCUGUCCAACGUUAAUCGGGGCAGGGUGAGUCGACCCCUAAGGCGAGGCCGAAAGGCGUAGUCGAUGGGAAACAGGUUAAUAUUCCUGUACUUGGUGUUACUGCGAAGGGGGGACGGAGAAGGCUAUGUCAGCCGGGCGACGGUUGUCCCGGUUUAAGCAUGUAGGCGGAGGUUCCAGGUAAAUCCGGUACCUUGUUAACGCUGAGGUGUGAUGACGAGGCACUACGGUGCUGAAGUGAUAAAUGCCCUGCUUCCAGGAAAAGCCUCUAAGCAUCAGGUAACACGAAAUCGUACCCCAAACCGACACAGGUGGUCAGGUAGAGAAUACCAAGGCGCUUGAGAGAACUCGGGUGAAGGAACUAGGCAAAAUGGUGCCGUAACUUCGGGAGAAGGCACGCUGAUAUGUAGGUGAAGCCCUGCGGACGGAGCUGAAAUCAGUCGAAGAUACCAGCUGGCUGCAACUGUUUAUUAAAAACACAGCACUGUGCAAACACGAAAGUGGACGUAUACGGUGUGACGCCUGCCCGGUGCCGGAAGGUUAAUUGAUGGGGUUAGCGGCAACGCGAAGCUCUUGAUCGAAGCCCCGGUAAACGGCGGCCGUAACUAUAACGGUCCUAAGGUAGCGAAAUUCCUUGUCGGGUAAGUUCCGACCUGCACGAAUGGCGUAAUGAUGGCCAGGCUGUCUCCACCCGAGACUCAGUGAAAUUGAACUCGCUGUGAAGAUGCAGUGUACCCGCGGCAAGACGGAAAGACCCCGUGAACCUUUACUAUAGCUUGACACUGAACACUGGUCCUUGAUGUGUAGGAUAGGUGGGAGGCUUUGAAGCGUGGACGCCAGUCUGCGUGGAGCCAACCUUGAAAUACCACCCUUUAAUGGCUGGUGUUCUAACGUAGACCCGUAAUCCGGGUUGCGGACAGUGUCUGGUGGGUAGUUUGACUGGGGCGGUCUCCUCCCAAAGAGUAACGGAGGAGCACGAAGGUUGGCUAAUCCUGGUCGGACAUCAGGAGGUUAGUGCAAUGGCAUAAGCCAGCUUGACUGCGAGCGUGACGGCGCGAGCAGGUGCGAAAGCAGGUCAUAGUGAUCCGGUGGUUCUGAAUGGAAGGGCCAUCGCUCAACGGAUAAAAGGUACUCCGGGGAUAACAGGCUGAUACCGCCCAAGAGUUCAUAUCGACGGCGGUGUUUGGCACCUCGAUGUCGGCUCAUCACAUCCUGGGGCUGAAGUAGGUCCCAAGGGUAUGGCUGUUCGCCAUUUAAAGUGGUACGCGAGCUGGGUUUAGAACGUCGUGAGACAGUUCGGUCCCUAUCUGCCGUGGGCGCUGGAGAAUUGAGGGGGGCUGCUCCUAGUACGAGAGGACCGGAGUGGACGCAUCACUGGUGUUCGGGUUGUCAUGCCAAUGGCACUGCCCGGUAGCUAAAUGCGGAAGAGAUAAGUGCUGAAAGCAUCUAAGCACGAAACUUGCCCCGAGAUGAGUUCUCCCUGAGACUUUAAGUCUCCUGAAGGAACGUUGAAGACGACGACGUUGAUAGGUCGGGUGUGUAAGCGCAGCGAUGCGUUGAGCUAACCGAUACUAAUGAACCGUGAGGCUUAACCUU